ACGGGACACCUGCAUCUGCCAACAAGACUGGAAGCAGAAAGGGACAGAGACGGCGAAGUUUGACGGUCUGGAAAGCAGAGACCAGCAGGGCUGACUGCUUGGGAGCACCAAAUAUCCGGACAGCGCCUCUCGGGAGGUCCGAGAAGAGAACCGCGAUCUGUUUCAGCACCGGGGCUCAGGACAGUUCCCAGCGGGCUCCGUUUCGUCUCCAGAACCCUGGACAGCUCCUCCAGUAGAGACGGGGUUUCACCAUGUUGGCCAGGCUGGUCUCAAACUCUUGACCUCUUCAUCCGUCCACCUCAGCCUCCCAAAGUGCUAGGAUUACAGGCGUGAGUCACUGCGCCUGGCCCAAGUCCGGAAUUUUCAACAGGACAUGGGUGUUACUGUGCCCAUGUGACAUUUGGGGAACCCAAGGCCCUGAGAAAGGCAGAAAAAUAACCCACGCAGGGACUCUCAGCCCACAAGUGAAGCUGAGAACCGGGAAUGGAAAACAGGGAGGCAGCACAGAGGCAGGAAACUCAGGUGUCAUAGCUUGGCUCAGCUUGGAAUGCACUCCCUCCACCUCCAACCAGAGCUCCCCACAACUGACCCUGCCUUCUUCUGCAAGCUCCAUUUCAUCAAGGGAAACGAUCCUUAUUGCCUCACCAUUUCCCACGUGAAGUCUGUAUUGACAUUCUCAUAGACCUGGGAUAUUGUGUCUGCAGCACAUAGUCCAAUUAUUUUCAUGUUAUCUACUGACAGGUCUAUUUGUCUCCCUGUUACACUGUGAGCUCCGUGAGGGCAGAAACAAUGUUAGUAUUUUCACUGCUGUGUCCCCAGCGCCUGGUCCGGGGCCCGGCACACAGCAGGCAUAUAAUAAGCAUGUGUUGAAUCAAUAAAGGCAUCAAAGAAUAAACCAAUACAUCAAUCAAUAAA
This 915-nucleotide long non-coding RNA is filed under the name Homo sapiens (human). Its description in RNAcentral is "HSALNT0395816". The record is from RNAcentral. Lineage: Eukaryota; Metazoa; Chordata; Mammalia; Primates; Hominidae.